This 305-nucleotide ribosomal RNA is filed under the name uncultured bacterium. RNAcentral describes it as "bacterial SSU rRNA". It matches the Rfam family "Bacterial small subunit ribosomal RNA", at positions 337 to 656 of the family's 1533-position model. The record is from RNAcentral.
UCCUACGGGGGGCAGCAGUGGGGAAUCUUCCGCAAUGGGCGCAAGCCUGACGGAGCAAUGCCGCGUGAACGAAGAAGGUCUUCGGAUUGUAAACUUCUUUUCUCAGGGACGAAGAAAGUGACGGUACCUGAGGAAUAAGCCACGGCUAACUACGUGCCAGCAGCCGCGGUAAUACGUAGGUGGCAAGCGUUAUCCGGAUUUAUUGGGUGUAAAGGGCGUGUAGGCGGGAGCGCAAGUCAGAUGUGAAAACUCAGGGCUCAACCCUGAGCCUGCAUUUGAAACUGUGUUUCUUGAGUGCUGGAGAG